UAAGAGGUCCCGCCUGCCCUGUGACCAUGAGUUUAACGGCCGCGGUAUUUUGACCGUGCAAAGGUAGCGCAAUCACUUGUCUUUUAAAUGAAGACCUGUAUGAAUGGCACAACGAGGGCUUAACUGUCUCCUUUUUCCAGUCAAUGAAAUUGAUCUUCCCGUGCAGAAGCGGGGAUAUAAACAUUAGACGAGAAGACCCUAUGGAGCUUUAGACACCAGGACAGCCCAUGUCAAACACCCCUUAUUUAAAGGAUUGAACUAAUUGGACCCUGCCCUAAUGUCUUUGGUUGGGGCGACCACGGGGAAACACAAAACCCCCAUGUGGACCAGGAAUACUUUUCCUACAACUAAGAGUUACAGCUCUAAUUAACAGAACUUCUGACCAGUAACGAUCCGGCAAUGCUGAUCAACGGACCGAGUUACCCUAGGGAUAACAGCGCAAUCCCCUCUUAGAGCCCAUAUCGACGAGGGGGUUUACGACCUCGAUGUUGGAUCAGGACAUCCUAAUGGUGCAACCGCUAUUAAGGGUUCGU
This 533-nucleotide ribosomal RNA is filed under the name Phanerodon furcatus (white seaperch). RNAcentral describes it as "partial large subunit ribosomal RNA". It matches the Rfam family "Bacterial large subunit ribosomal RNA", at positions 1846 to 2576 of the family's 2925-position model. Lineage: Eukaryota; Metazoa; Chordata; Actinopteri; Embiotocidae. The record is from RNAcentral.